Chinchilla lanigera (long-tailed chinchilla) is the source of this 638-nucleotide long non-coding RNA. RefSeq lists it as uncharacterized. The record is from RefSeq and is a predicted model, not a curated record. The transcript has 2 exons. Lineage: Eukaryota; Metazoa; Chordata; Mammalia; Rodentia; Chinchillidae.
CCCUCUAUGCCAGGUAUUUCACACGCAAAACGGAAUGGUGGCUGCCACCUGCCUAUCCUGUAUCCGAGGUUAGGUGCCCUGGAAAAUGAAAUAAGAGCGAUGUAAAUACUGUGUUCAAAGAGCUAUACACAACCAUGAAGUGGCCCGGAAGCUGGGUAUGGGCUUCAGAUGCGCAUGCAGAGGCUGGGCUCACCAGGAUCUCCAUCAAUAUCAAUGGUGUAAGACCACAUUAUUCAUGGCUGCUGCUGAAAUGAGCACACUACCACAUCUUCCUAUGAAAGACCAUGUGAUGAUCUGGCAGGUGAGAAAUUAUUAAAUCUUGAAUUUGAAAUGCUGGGCCAUUAUGAAACCACGUACUUCAAACAAGGGUGGAAUCCACUCAAACUAUAUCUUCCUUCAGGAGAUAAAAUAGCAUGUAGGUUUCAAUAUUCAAGUGUUUUCAGAAGCCUUGAGAACUGAACACCUGCAGUUAUUCACACGUGAACCUUGCCUUCACAGUGGAAAUACAUCAAUCGCAUUGUUUAUGGAAAUAGUAUUCUGUUGAACCACAGUUAAUUACUUUUGGAGUUCUGCAUUGAAAGAUACACAGCAUUUAAUACUAGCAUUUGGAAAAUAAAAAUUCAUUAUCUGCCUUUCAA